GUGGUAAGGGGUGAACAUCCUUGGGAAGCCACAGAGAGCAAGGCGCAGUUUUUCAUUGAUCACCACUUUCAAGAUGCUCCCAGAAUCGUGCUGUCUAGGAAGCCAUUUAAACUGGUGAGAAGCCAUCCUCUCUUGAAUGGGGGCUCCCACUGUACAUCUGGCACCCACUUCACAGAUUCUGGGGGAUGUCAACACCAGCACUGCUGAGCUGUGUGACCUUGAGCAAGACAGUUAGCCUCUCUGAACCUCAGUGUCCUUCUCUGUAGGCUGGAGAUUGAUAUACCUUCAUUAUCGGGGUAUGAGAGUGUUAUAAGGUGGGAUGGUGGAACACGCUGACUGGUCUGGGCUAUUCAAGAUCCAUGAACUGGAAGAUGCUUUCUUAUAACUCAGAGAAAAGAGAUGAAAAUGAAUCAAAGAACAGGAAGGAGACAAGCUCAGGAGAGUCACCCUAAGAAGGAUGUGUGGAAGACUUGACUGGAGGAUCAAAAUGUGUCGGGGGAAGGUGUACAAGGAGGAGUAAGGACACAGAUGUCCUGACUUCACACAGUGGGGGAUUAGAAGCCACCAUCAAACACAGAUGAAACAGGAAUAAAAGUAGUAGUACAUUACUUAAGCUUUAAAAGGGUAAGACUCCUGGGAAUUUGGAAGCUGAGACUUGAGGCAAGUAUUUAGGAUUUGCUGUCUCACCUCCCUGCUAUGACAGUCCUUAAUUAAUGGAGAUGAUGGAGAACAGCUUGCUGGGCUGAGUGGCAGGAGCCAUGCAGCUGCUGGGGCUGGAGUGGGUCAGGAAGCUUCAUCAAUCUGGGACACAUGACGUGCUUGGUGGUGGCGGAGCCUGACGCAUCCCUCUUCAUCGACAUUGUGUCAAUAGGAGCAGAGGCAUUUAGCUGUGUAAACACAGAGCUUCAGUGGCAGCACCCUAAAUGCUUAGCUGAUAGAUCCGGAAUUAAAUACAGACCUAGAAACUGGAGUUGGAAAACUUCCUGGCAGCACUCCUUCCCUGCCAUCCCGGUGAUCCCCUUCUGGAUGGAGGGUGUGGAGCUCAGCACAUUCACGUCUGCAGGCGUUAUACUUAUAACUUUACAGGGAUUAUCUAAUUCAUUACUGAAACAACAUUGUGAUUUCCAUUUCGCAAGUGGGGAACCCUGUCCAGAGAACUUAUUUCUCAGAGAACCAAGUGUUAAGGAAUGUCAGGGAAGGAAGAAGGCAGCCAGCCAGGAAGGGGAGGUCCUGGCCUGAGCACGCCAGGCACAGAGGGAUAGAGGGUAGGGAGGAAACUGCACCUGUCUCCAACCCUCGACCCCAGCCCCGAAACACGACAUUGGCUGAAACAGAUUAAAAGCAUAAAA
RNAcentral lists this long non-coding RNA (1349 nucleotides) under Homo sapiens (human). RNAcentral's name for it is "long intergenic non-protein coding RNA 1837". The record is from RNAcentral. Lineage: Eukaryota; Metazoa; Chordata; Mammalia; Primates; Hominidae.